This 367-nucleotide ribosomal RNA is filed under the name uncultured fungus. RNAcentral describes it as "eukaryotic LSU rRNA". It matches the Rfam family "Eukaryotic large subunit ribosomal RNA", at positions 40 to 398 of the family's 3401-position model. Lineage: Eukaryota; Fungi. The record is from RNAcentral.
AUAUCAAUAAGCGGAGGAAAAGAAACUAACAAGGAUUCCCCUAGUAACUGCGAGUGAAGAGGGAAGAGCUCAAAUUUAAAAUCUGUCAGUCUUUAGCUGGCCGAGUUGUAAAUUAGAGAAGUGCCUAUCUGCGCUGGCCUGUGCAAAAGUCUCUUGGAAAAGGGCAUCAUAGAGGGUGACAAUCCCGUCUUUGGUACAGAGCUCCAGGGCUUCAUGAUGUGCUCUCGAUGAGUCGAGUUGUUUGGGAAUGCAGCUCUAAAUGGGUGGUAAAUUCCAUCUAAAGCUAAAUAUUGGCGAGAAACCGAUAGCGCACAAGUACCGCUGAGGGAAAGAUGAAAAGAACUUUGAAAAGAGAGUUAAACAGUAC